Molecule: ribosomal RNA, 115 nt
Filed under: uncultured eukaryote
Lineage: Eukaryota
Description: partial small subunit ribosomal RNA
Source: RNAcentral
UGGCUUUACCCGAAGGCGUUUCGCUAACCGCAAGGAGGCAGGCGACCACGGUAGGGUCAGCGACUGGGGUGAAGUCGUAACAAGGUAGCYGUAGGUGAACCUGCCAGAAGGAUCA